UAGGGAAUCUUCCACAAUGGGCGCAAGCCUGAUGGAGCAACGCCGCGUGAGUGAUGAAGGCCUUCGGGUUGUAAAACUCUGUCUUCUGUGACGAACAAGCCUGUGAGUGGAAAGCUCAGGCCCUGACGGUAACAGAGGAGGAAGCCACGGCUAACUACGUGCCAGCAGCCGCGGUAAUACGUAGGUGGCAAGCGUUGUCCGGAAUCACUGGGCGUAAAGCGCGCGCAGGCGGCGAUCUACGUCUGGGGUGAAAGCCCGGAGCUCAACUCCGGGACUGCCUUGGAUACGGGAUCGCUUGAGGAUUGGAGAGGCAAGGGGAAUUCCACGUGUAGCGGUGAAAUGCGUAGAGAUGUGGAGGAACACCUGUGGCGAAGGCGCCUUGCUGGCCAAUUUCUGACGCUGAGGCGCGAAAGCGUGGGGAGCAAACA
This 428-nucleotide ribosomal RNA is filed under the name uncultured Tumebacillus sp. RNAcentral describes it as "partial 16S ribosomal RNA". It matches the Rfam family "Bacterial small subunit ribosomal RNA", at positions 355 to 774 of the family's 1533-position model. Lineage: Bacteria; Bacillati; Bacillota; Bacilli; Caryophanales; Alicyclobacillaceae. The record is from RNAcentral.